Passer domesticus (house sparrow) is the source of this 1096-nucleotide long non-coding RNA. RefSeq lists it as uncharacterized. The transcript has 4 exons. The record is from RefSeq and is a predicted model, not a curated record. NCBI's taxonomy places the organism in Eukaryota, Metazoa, Chordata, Aves, Passeriformes, Passeridae.
GGCCUGUCCAUUAAUGACGGGCCAGGCCUGGGCCGGCAUUACCGCAAUUAGCCAGCAAUUAGCCAGGAGGGAGCGGCGCUGGGCUUAGCCCCCCAAAAGUUGCACAGGCAGCUGCAGGGAGGGGGACAGCCUGUGACAGGGGCUUCUGUAGGCACUGACUGCAUCCGUCUUUCUUGAGCUGCUUCUGCUCCCACCCCACCUCAGGCAGAAGGGCCCUGCUUGCCAAAAUACGGCCAUUGUGUCUGCACUGAGUUGCUCUGGAGAGCACAAGGCCUGAUUCUUCUCUGCCUUAUGUGGGGUUUAUCUCAGGUAACUUCUGUUCUCAGGAAGUUGCUGUGUGCUAACACUAUCCAAUCUGUCUCGGUGAUAAGAAAUCCUCUCUGCCCUGACCAGCACAGCCCAGUCCCAUCCCAGAGCCCAGUGGACUGCGGUCCCCAAAUGUUCCAAGGACCUUUGGAAUGGGCAUCACAGAGAUGUAGUGACUGCAGCACAUCCAUUAGAAAUGACCAGUGGCAGAUCCUUCUCUUGAGGAGGGACACACCAGCCUGCAGAGUGCUGUCCUGCCACUCCGAGGGAAGCAGUAGGUGUUUGCAAUUAGCACCUUCUCUCUGUGCUCAGAGGUUUGCUUCAAUUAUCAGUCAGCUGUAGGAGGAAUGAAUGUCCCUUCCUUGAAGAGCCCAGUGUCAAUGCCAGCAAACAACAGGAUAAUCCAGGCUUCCUCUCAGUUUCUGCCUUCUAAAUGAGGAUUUGGGCAAUGCAUCAGCUGACAGUGCCUGCCUGGAGCAAUGGGCUCUUCUGCUUUUGAUGCAUCUGAGCAACUUGAAACUAAUACCAGCAUGCAGUGUACAGUGAAUAGACCUUCACGUUGAUGAGGCAAAUCCUGCAGCACUUAAAAGCAAUCUGUGCUGAAGUGUCCCAUGUAUCUUCGUCUUCAAAGUGCAACACACUUAUGAAAAUUGCAGAUGCUGUGGUGCUAUUUGUCUGGAAGGAGACAUUACAGGUGACAUAUGAACCUGAUUUCUCAAACAGAUGAGGUCUGUGAGAGGAUUAAGGAAACAUCAAUAAAUUAAGAUGUAGAAUAAAGUUCCUGCUGUUU